AUUGAACGCUGGCGGAAUGCUUUACACAUGCAAGUCGAACGGCAGCACGGACUUCGGUCUGGUGGCGAGUGGCGAACGGGUGAGUAAUGUAUCGGAACGUGCCCAGUCGUGGGGGAUAACGUAGUGAAAAUUACGCUAAUCCCGCAUACGAUCUAUGGAUGAAAGCGGGGGAUCGCAAUACCUCGCGCGAUUGGUGUGGCCGAUAUCAGAUUAGGUAGUUGGUGGGGUAAAGGCCCACCAAGCCAGCGAUCUGUAGCUGGUCUGAGAGGACGACCAGCCACACUGGAACUGAGACACGGUCCAGACUCCUACGGGAGGCAGCAGUGGGGAAUUUUGGACAAUGGGCGAAAGCCUGAUCCAGCCAUUCCGCGUGCAGGACGAAGGCCCUCGGGUUGUAAACUGCUUUUGUACAGAACGAAAAGGUUUCUACUAAUACUAGGAGCUCAUGACGGUACUGUAAGAAUAAGCACCGGCUAACUACGUGCCAGCCGCCGCCGUAA
This 500-nucleotide ribosomal RNA is filed under the name uncultured bacterium. RNAcentral's name for it is "partial 16S ribosomal RNA". It matches the Rfam family "Bacterial small subunit ribosomal RNA", at positions 30 to 523 of the family's 1533-position model. The record is from RNAcentral.